This 264-nucleotide ribosomal RNA is filed under the name uncultured bacterium. RNAcentral describes it as "partial 16S ribosomal RNA". It matches the Rfam family "Bacterial small subunit ribosomal RNA", at positions 92 to 354 of the family's 1533-position model. The record is from RNAcentral.
CGACCGGCGCACGGGUGAGUAACGCGUAUGCAACCUGGCCGUGACAGAUGGAUAACCGGGAGAAAUCCCGCCUAAUACAGCAUGACGCCGCGGGAGGACAUCCUCCCGCGGCCAAAGGGGCGACCCGGUCACGGAUGGGCAUGCGGCGCAUUAGGUAGUUGGUGGGGCAACGGCCCACCAAGCCGACGAUGCGUAGGGGUUCUGAGAGGAAGGUCCCCCACAUUGGAACUGAGACACGGUCCAAACUCCUACGGAAGGCAGCAG